This 579-nucleotide small RNA is filed under the name Natranaerobius thermophilus JW/NM-WN-LF. Lineage: Bacteria; Bacillati; Bacillota; Clostridia; Natranaerobiales; Natranaerobiaceae. The record is from RNAcentral.
GGACUACGUCAUGAGUGUGGCGCAGUAUCCUAGUUGGUAACUCCAGCUCCGAAGGCGGGCCUAAAAAUCCGCUAAAGGGCACAUCGAUGAAUCCUCUUGUGUUGGCUUUCGGCGCCCAGCCGAGGGUCGAUGCUGGGGGCAAGGUAGUCAGGGGAAUCCGCAAAGGCAUGCGGGUGUAUCCUGGCUACCGUGGAGACCUGGGUACGUGGUUUUUCGUCCAUUUAGGCAAGAAAAUUCAACACUACGGCUCAGGGUGUAAACCUGCAUGCGGCAGACUCUGUGUGCAGUGUAGCCUGCCUUGAGUGGUGGCGGGGAAUGGGUUUAUCCCUGAAACCGUUGCUGCAAAAGAGGCUAGGAGUUGGAAAGUGCCAUUGGAGAAAAUCCCUAGGCUGUUCUCUUAUGGGAAGCAGUCCGGGACUUGAAGUGCAGGCUAAGUGGCGAUCCGGCGCCAAUCUUACUGGGAAAGGCAUUAAAGGGAAACCGCCGAGAUGGCGACACUCGGUUGCUUUUUCGGGAAAACCCGCCGGACCUGAAGCCGCAGCAUUAGCCCGGACUGCUGCCACACUCACCUUUGGAGUA